AAUUAACUACGUACAAAAUUUAAUACAUGUUUAAUAUGUUAUAAAAAUGAGUCCCACAUUGCCUGUAUUACGGCAUAUAUAUUUAUAAAUAGAUAUGCAUGAAGGUAAAACAAGAAGCUAUCUGUAACAUUUGAAAAAGCUUUAAUUUUAAAAGAUUUAUUUGCUAAACUUUAUAAAAAAAUUGCACUUCAAUCCAAUCACAAUGGAGGUUAAAUGAAAAAAAAUAAUAUAGUAGACUUCAAUAAACUUAUUUUAUUAUACAACAUAUCCUAACAUAAACAGCCCUACAUAUAUAUAUUUCUUUGGUUUAAUUUUCAUCCACUUUGAGCGAGUCAUCCUCUACUAUAUUGUGUACAAUGAUCUGUUCCUGUGGAACAGUUUCCAUAUCCUGAAC
Long non-coding RNA from Danaus plexippus (monarch butterfly), 394 nucleotides. RefSeq lists it as uncharacterized. NCBI's taxonomy places the organism in Eukaryota, Metazoa, Arthropoda, Insecta, Lepidoptera, Nymphalidae. The transcript has 2 exons. The record is from RefSeq and is a predicted model, not a curated record.